GGUCUAUUAGCUCAGUUGAUUAGAGUAUUGUGCUAAUAAUACGAAAGUUAUAGGUUUGAUUCUUGCUUAGACCA
Glycine soja is the source of this 74-nucleotide non-coding RNA. The record is from Rfam. Lineage: Eukaryota; Viridiplantae; Streptophyta; Magnoliopsida; Fabales; Fabaceae.